This 274-nucleotide ribosomal RNA is filed under the name uncultured bacterium. RNAcentral describes it as "partial 16S ribosomal RNA". It matches the Rfam family "Bacterial small subunit ribosomal RNA", at positions 523 to 796 of the family's 1533-position model. The record is from RNAcentral.
CUACGGAGGGGGCUAGCGUUGUUCGGAUUUACUGGGCGUAAAGCGCGCGUAGGCGGUAUAUCAAGUUAGGCGUGAAAGCCCCGGGCUCAACCCGGGAACUGCGCUUAUUACUGAUAAACUAGAGUCCGGGCGAGGGUGGCGGAAUUCCCAGUGUAGAGGUGAAAUUCGUAGAUAUUGGGAAGAACACCAGUUGCGAAGGCGGCCACCUGGACCGGUACUGACGCUGAGGUGCGAAAGCGUGGGGAGCAAACAGGAGUAGAUACCCCAGUAGUCC